Molecule: unclassified non-coding RNA, 336 nt
Filed under: soil metagenome
Description: partial contains 5.8S ribosomal RNA, internal transcribed spacer 2, and large subunit ribosomal RNA
Rfam family: 5.8S ribosomal RNA (bases 1-120)
Source: RNAcentral
GAUGUAGAACGCAGCGAAAUGCGAUAAGUAGUGUGAAUUGCAGAAUUCAGUGAAUCAUCGAAUCUUUGAACGCACAUUGCGCCCCUUGGUAUUCCAUGGGGCAUGCCUGUUCGAGCGUCAUUUGUACCUUCAAGCUCUGCUUGGUGUUGGGUGUUUGUCUCGCCUCUGCGUGUAGACUCGCCUCAAAACAAUUGGCAGCCGGCGUAUUGAUUUCGGAGCGCAGUACAUCUCGCGCUUUGCACUCAUAACGACGACGUCCAAAAGUACAUUUUUACACUCUUGACCUCGGAUCAGGUAGGGAUACCCGCUGAACUUAAGCAUAUCAAUAAGCGGAGA